RNAcentral lists this ribosomal RNA (459 nucleotides) under uncultured bacterium. Its description in RNAcentral is "partial 16S ribosomal RNA". It matches the Rfam family "Bacterial small subunit ribosomal RNA", at positions 338 to 795 of the family's 1533-position model. The record is from RNAcentral.
CCUACGGGGGGCAGCAGUGAGGAAUAUUGGUCAAUGGGCGGAAGCCUGAACCAGCCAAGUAGCGUGCGGGAUGAAGGCCCUACGGGUUGUAAACCGCUUUUGCACGGGGAUAACACCCUCCACUUGUGGCGGUCUGCAGGUACCGUGCGAAUAAGGGCCGGCUAAUUCCGUGCCAGCAGCCGCGGUAAUACGGAAGGCCCGAGCGUUAUCCGGCUUCAUUGGGCUUAAAGGGAGCGUAGGCGGGCGUUCAAGUCAGCUGUAAAAUCGCGGGGCUCAACCGCGCCCCGCAGUUGAAACUGGGCGCCUUGAGUUCACAACAGGCAGGCGGAAUUCGUGGUGUAGCGGUGAAAUGCAUAGAUAUCACGAGGAACCCCGAUUGCGAAGGCAGCCUGCCGGGGUGCGACUGACGCUGAGGCUCGAAAGUGCGGGUAUCAAACAGGAUUAGAUACCCUAGUAGUC